Molecule: ribosomal RNA, 393 nt
Filed under: Triticum aestivum (bread wheat)
Lineage: Eukaryota; Viridiplantae; Streptophyta; Magnoliopsida; Poales; Poaceae
Description: partial small subunit ribosomal RNA
Source: RNAcentral
AUGUCACGGAACUCGGCGUUGAAGAGCGUGUCGAGCUCCACGGCGAAGAUGUGGUCGCUCCGGUUGCCGCCGUCGGUGUCGUUGAGGAGGCCCAGGAACUGGCCCGGCAUCGCCGUGGAGAGCAGCUCCCUGGACGCGGAGACGAAGAAGGCCAUGCCGUGGCUGCUCAGGUCCGCGUACUGCCCGAAGAUGGCGAAGACGAAAGUGGUCGAGAAGGACCGCGCGGCGCCGUCGCCGGUGCCGUUCGCCUCGCCGCCGCCGCGGAACGGCAGGGGGGACGGGUGGAAGGCCUGGCCUUUCGUCUGGAUGGUGCAGUUGGUCAGCAUGAGCAGGCCGUUGGGCAUGACCACCGCGCCGUCGAGCGUCAGGUUCACGCCCGCGAAGCCGUUAUAG